This 333-nucleotide long non-coding RNA is filed under the name Mus musculus (house mouse). RNAcentral's name for it is "predicted gene, 47675". The record is from RNAcentral. Lineage: Eukaryota; Metazoa; Chordata; Mammalia; Rodentia; Muridae.
AGAGAGAAGGAAGCAUGACCACAAUUAGCUUGUGUGACAAGAUGGCAAAGUACAUCAAGCAGGUAAAAUUGGGACAGGCAGAUAAACAUGAUGAGCUAAGACCACUCCCUGAUGGCCCAUAAUCUUGCUGAGAGAGCCACGGUCCCUCUGCCUUCCAGAAAGUUCUCCACCUUGGUACCCAAGAGAAUUAUUUGCUUCUGAAGUACGUCUCUCUUGUCCUCACUUCCCAACUCUUUCAUGUGAACCUUUACAUUUGUGAAUGUCUACUUUUCUAGACUAAAACUAAAAAACUUUAUAUUGUAUCUGUAAGAAUUCACUUUAUAAAAUCAGAUA